GAUCUCAUAAAUUUUUUGGGUUUUCUUUUAUAGUGGUGCUGCAAUUGGACAUUUCUUUGGUUCUUUUCCCUUACACGUUUGUCUCAUCAAUUUAUUGGGAAUGGUUCAGGUUAAGUAGGGAAAAUGUAAGAAGAAUCAGCAGCGAUGGCGGUGCCUUUGCUUUCGAAGAAGACAGUGAAGAAAAGGGUCAAGAAGUUCAAGCAACCCCAGACAGAGUGCAAAAUUCAACUCAAACACCCGUGUCCAACUUGCUAAGAAAAGCGGAAAAGGGGAAUACAGGAAGUGUCAUGAGUCUUCCCAAGCAUAGUAGGAAGGUCACUCAUCAUGAAUAUGAAGUCGAAACAGCAAAUGGAAGAACAAUUACAAAAAAAGGAAAACCAAAAGUACUGUAAUGUUUGCGGGAACAAAGGGACAAGUUCAUACAAAUUCAUCUAAUAUAGGUGAUCUGUUUUCAGAAGGAUCUCUGAAUCCUUAUGCAGAUGAUCCCUAUGCAUUUGAUUAGAGUAUGAAGUGUUUGGGUCGACCGUGAAGAAGCCAGUGCAAAAAAAAAAAAGGAUUUGUCUACAAAAAAGGUGUCGAAGCUGAGAAGCUGAUUGGUGUUAGCGCGCUUGACAUGUUUGAGGCUGCUGACGAUGAGGUUAUGUGUUGCUCUAUUCUCAUGCAUAGAUACCUGAACUUGGAGAUUGUUCAACUAUGUAGCCAGACCUUUAAGUUGUACCAUCGUGUGGCUUGUCGAAUUGAACUGACCAGGCUCCUAUGCUAUUUUAAGCGUUCAUCCGAUGUGAUCAACAAAGUGACGUGCACUAAAUACGCUGUUGUUGCUUGCUACCCAGUUUAGAGAGGUUGUUUUUGGAUGCUUAUUUCUUGUGCUAUCUUGUCAGCUCGUGAACUUCUUUGAGCUUGUAGUGGCGUCGGUAUUAGUUUUGAGGCUUAUAUGCUAUUGAUACUAAUAGCAUUUAGUGGUUCUGUUCUUUUUAAAAAAUUUUCUUUGGGAUGCUUUGUUAUGCUGCCAGCUCAGAGCCUUUCUUCUUGGGCUGAGUUCUUAGGCAGCAGUAGUAUUUGGAAUAGUGAUAUGUAGACUAUAGACCACAUGUUUGUUACUUAGACGAU
Coffea eugenioides is the source of this 1110-nucleotide long non-coding RNA. RefSeq lists it as uncharacterized. The record is from RefSeq and is a predicted model, not a curated record. The transcript has 9 exons. NCBI's taxonomy places the organism in Eukaryota, Viridiplantae, Streptophyta, Magnoliopsida, Gentianales, Rubiaceae.